This 723-nucleotide ribosomal RNA is filed under the name Marinobacter alkaliphilus. Its description in RNAcentral is "bacterial SSU rRNA". It matches the Rfam family "Bacterial small subunit ribosomal RNA", at positions 80 to 801 of the family's 1533-position model. Lineage: Bacteria; Pseudomonadati; Pseudomonadota; Gammaproteobacteria; Pseudomonadales; Marinobacteraceae. The record is from RNAcentral.
GCACCCCGCUGACGAGCGGGGACGGGAGAGUAAUGCUUAGGAAUCUGCCCAGUAGUGGGGGAUAGCCCGGGGAAACCCGGAUUAAUACCGCAUACGUCCUACGGGAGAAAGCAGGGGAUCUUCGGACCUUGCGCUACUGGAUGAGCCUAAGUCGGAUUAGCUAGUUGGUGGGGUAAAGGCCUACCAAGGCGACGAUCCGUAGCUGGUCUGAGAGGAUGAUCAGCCACAUCGGGACUGAGACACGGCCCGAACUCCUACGGGAGGCAGCAGUGGGGAAUAUUGGACAAUGGGGGCAACCCUGAUCCAGCCAUGCCGCGUGUGUGAAGAAGGCUUUCGGGUUGUAAAGCACUUUCAGCGAGGAGGAAGGCUCUGAAGUUAAUACCUUCAGGGAUUGACGUUACUCGCAGAAGAAGCACCGGCUAACUCCGUGCCAGCAGCCGCGGUAAUACGGAGGGUGCAAGCGUUAAUCGGAAUUACUGGGCGUAAAGCGCGCGUAGGUGGUUAGGUAAGCGAGAUGUGAAAGCCCCGGGCUUAACCUGGGAACGGCAUUUCGAACUGUCUGACUAGAGUGUGGUAGAGGGUAGUGGAAUUUCCUGUGUAGCGGUGAAAUGCGUAGAUAUAGGAAGGAACACCAGUGGCGAAGGCGGCUACCUGGACCAGCACUGACACUGAGGUGCGAAAGCGUGGGGAGCAACAGGAUUAGAUACCCUGGUAGUCCACGCC